RNAcentral lists this long non-coding RNA (412 nucleotides) under Elaeis guineensis (African oil palm). RNAcentral describes it as "long non-coding RNA (EGUI_LNC015848)". The record is from RNAcentral. Lineage: Eukaryota; Viridiplantae; Streptophyta; Magnoliopsida; Arecales; Arecaceae.
CGAAAAUAGAGGGUAUACGAUAUGACAUAUACAUCAGCCUCUCUAUCAUUGAUCGAUAUGUGACCGACUCGGACGCUUUGCAAAUCAUUACUUUGCCGGCAUGAUCUUCCAUAAUCAUUAUGGAAGGUCGCUUCAAGCAUCUAUGGCAAUAAUUGCUGCACAUUCUGCAAAACGAUGGAGCCGCCGCAUGUCCUGUGAUGUGAUAAAAUGGCUGCACACUUCACAAGAUGACAAAAUGAUCGAGCACCUUUCUUCGGGAUAGCAAUAAAUAAAAUUCACCAAAGGGAGGAACUCGGAAUUAGGUGCGAAGUUCAAAAUUCUAAGUAACUCCCUUCGUCCAAUACUGCUAUCGCAUUGGACUCGAAAGUUGGAAAAUAAGUGUUGGGGUAAAUCUUCGGCUUACAACCGACUG